AAGAUAGCACUAGCAACGAAAUCCCACGGCUAGACUCGAGAUCCCCUCGAGAGAUUGAGAUAGGAGAGAAGGGGCCGUCGGUUGUUUGAAGUGAGGAGUUAGGGUUCAAAUUGGUAUCCAACGGGUAUAUGUACUCCCAGGCAGUCUAUCAGAAGUUCCAACGGGGUGUCGGAAGUUUUGACGGUAAUUAAAUUCAACUCUUGAGAACCCUCUGUUGGAGGAAAUCUAAAAGUUCCGAUGCUCAUCGGAAGUUCCGACGAUAGUUAAAUUCCUCUUGGGAAUCCUCUACCGAAAGUUUGUUGAAACUUCCAGUGGUCAUUGGAAGUUCCGACCUUGUGUUGGAAGUUCUGGUAGAUGAAUUUCCAUUCUCUUGGGAACCUUCUAUCGGCACUUUGCUGAUACUUCUAUUGGCUGUCGGAAGUUUUGGUGGUGUGCCGGAAGUUUCUGUAGGUACUUGAUAGCUCCAAAAAGAAUGAUUUCGAGAUAGAUAAAGAUUGAGAUUUUGAGAUUUAUGGCUUAUGGACAUAUAAGAUAAAUUGACACAUAGUGAUUAGCCAACAAGUAACAUCACAUAACAAUGAUCACUUGAGUCAAGUUUUGAUCCAAAGAUCAAAAUUCAUGUUUUGAAAGAAACUCAACACAAAGAAAUUCAUUUUUCCUAUCUAGUCAACAAUCAAG
Molecule: long non-coding RNA, 678 nt
Filed under: Setaria viridis
Lineage: Eukaryota; Viridiplantae; Streptophyta; Magnoliopsida; Poales; Poaceae
Description: long non-coding RNA (SVIR_LNC001784)
Source: RNAcentral